Long non-coding RNA from Felis catus (domestic cat), 408 nucleotides. RefSeq lists it as uncharacterized. NCBI's taxonomy places the organism in Eukaryota, Metazoa, Chordata, Mammalia, Carnivora, Felidae. The record is from RefSeq and is a predicted model, not a curated record. The transcript is spliced from 3 exons.
UCCAUCUUCCUGGUCAAACUGACCGUCGUCUAAUUCCCGUAGGACACUGUCAUUGCUGCUGAAGCCGGAGAAGCUGCUGUACUGUGUCGGCCUCCUCUCUCUUGUCCAACACUCUCCAGAAGGAGAGAGGAGGCACUCUGCAGAUCCUGCUCAUCUUUAAGGACCAACUGAGAGCCACCCUUCACAGUCUCUCCUCCUCCCAGAAUGGAGAAAUUUGGACACAGAGGCACAGACAAAGAAAAUGUGAAGACACAGGGGAAAGAUGGCCAUCUACAAGUUAAGAAGAGAAGCCUGAAACAAAUGCUUCCCUCAUGGCCCUCAGACUGAACCAAUCCUGCCAAAGUCUUGGUCUUCAACUUUGAGUCUCUAGAACUCUAAGACAAUAAAUGUCUGUUGUUUAAGCCAUAA